RNAcentral lists this ribosomal RNA (439 nucleotides) under uncultured bacterium. Its description in RNAcentral is "partial 16S ribosomal RNA". It matches the Rfam family "Bacterial small subunit ribosomal RNA", at positions 339 to 795 of the family's 1533-position model. The record is from RNAcentral.
CUACGGGAGGCUGCAGUGGGGAAUCUUAGACAAUGGGCGCAAGCCUGAUCUAGCCAUGCCGCGUGAGUGACGAAGGCCUUAGGGUCGUAAAGCUCUUUCGCUGGGGAAGAUAAUGACGGUACCCAGUAAAGAAACCCCGGCUAACUCCGUGCCAGCAGCCGCGGUAAUACGGAGGGGGUUAGCGUUGUUCGGAAUUACUGGGCGUAAAGCGCGCGUAGGCGGAUCAGAAAGUUGGGGGUAAAAUCCCGGGGCUCAACCCCGGAACUGCCUUCAAAACUCCUGGUCUUGAGUUCGAGAGAGGUGAGUGGAAUUCCGAGUGUAGAGGUGAAAUUCGUAGAUAUUCGGAGGAACACCAGUGGCGAAGGCGGCUCACUGGCUCGAUACUGACGCUGAGGUGCGAAAGCGUGGGGAGCAAACAGGAUUAGAUACCCGAGUAGUC